UGUGAGACAAUGAUUCGAAAACCUGGUAGACCAUGUUUACAAAACAGGUAGGUUUGUGUUCAUAGACAGGUAGACCAUUUUGUCUCACAAAAAAAGUAGACAAUUUCUCGUAAAUAAGCAGACCAUGCUUCGUAAACAAGUAGACCUCUCAAGAAUUCUUCAAGUGUGUGUGAAUUCUGGACUCUUUAGAGUUGGUCCACUCGUACUGUGAGACAAUGAUUCAAAAACUUGGAAGACCAUGUUUACAAAACAGGUAGGUUCGUGUUCGUAAACAGGUAGACCAUUUUGUCUCACAAAAAAAGUAGACCAUUUCUCGUAAAUAAGCAGACCAGGCUUCAGAAACAGGUAGACCUCUCAAGAAUUCUUCAAGUGUGUGUGAAUUCUGGACUCUUUAGAGUUGGUCUACUCGUAGUGUGAGACAAUGAUUUGAAAAUAUGAUAGACAAUGUUUACAAAACAGGUAGGUUUGUGUUCGUAAACAGGUAGACUAUUUUGUCUCACAAAAAAAGUAGACUCUUUCUCGUAAAUAAGCAGACCAGGGUUCGUUAAUAGGUAGACCUCUCAAGAAUUCUUUAAGUGUUGUAAGUGUGUGUGUGAAUUCUGGACACUUUAGAGUUGGUCUACACGUAAUAUGAGUCAAUGAUUCGGAAACCUGGUAGACCAUGUUUACAAAACAAGUAGGUUUAUGUUCGUAAACAGGUAGACCAUUUUGUCUCACAAAAAAAGUAGACCCGUACUCGUAAAUAAGUAGACCAAGCUUCCUAAACAGGUAGACCUCUCAAGAAUUCUUUAAGUGUGUGUGAAUUCUGGACUCUUUAGAAUUGGUCUACUCGUACUGUGAGACAAUGAUUCGAAAACUUGGAAGACCAUGUUUACAAAACAGGUAGGUUUGUGUUCGUAAACAGGUAGACCAUUUUGUCUCACAAAAAAAGUAGACCCGUACUCGUAAAUAAACAGACCAGGCUUUGUAAACAGGUAGACUUCUUAAGAAUUCUUCAAGUGUGUGAAUUCUGGACUCUUUAGAGUUGGUCUAAUUGUAGUGUGAGACAAUGAUUCGAAAACUUGGUAGACCAUGUUUACAAAACAGGUAGGUUUGUAUUCGUAAACAGGUAAACCAUUUUGUCUCACAAAAAAAGUAGACCAUUUCUCAUAAAUAAGCAGACCAGGCUUUGUAAACAGGUAGACCUUUCAAGAAUUCUUCAAGUGUGUGUGAAUUUUGGACACUUUAGAGUUGGUCUACACGUAGUAUUAGUCAAUGAUUCGGAAACCUGGUAGACCAUGUUUACAAAACAUGUAGGUUAGUGUUCGUAAACAGGUAGACCAUUUUGUCUCACAAAAAAAGUAGACUUGUACUCGUAAAUAAGCGGAUCAGGCUUCAGAAACAGGUAGACCUCUCAAGAAUUCUUCAAGUGUGUGUGAAUUCUGGACUCUUUAGAGUUGGUCUACUCGUAGUGUGAGACAAUGAUUCGAACAGCUUGUACACCAUGUUCACAAAACAGGUAGGUUAGUCUUCGUAAACAAGUAGACCAUUUUGAUCUCGUUCUCUUUUAAUCUUGACCGUUGAUUCCUUCUUUGAAAACCCAACCAAGGUCAACUGACCCAAGUCGGGUCAAGCACUCUUCUCUCGCGUACGAUGAGAGCUGAGAAGCUCUCCGUCCCCGGCCGUCUUCUCCGACGCCGCCCGGUCGACUCUGGCCACCAUUCUCCACAAAACCACCACCAAAUUUCUUCUCUCUUUCCCCUCUACAUAACCCAGCCCGUGAAUCGCACAUACUGAUUCAAAGACAAAUCAACGACGAGAAGCUCCGACUGUGUUCGUUUGUUUCCGCCUUCUCCGGUGAUGACUUGGCCUAGAACUGGCAUAUUCGAACUUUUCCCUUCAUUCUUUGCACACUAGUGCCCUUAAUCCCUCGAAUCUUUUACAAAUCUUAAUAACCCCUUUACUGUCGAAUUUGAGUUUUCCGACGACCUGCUACGGUGGAUGCCGACGAGACUUUCUAGCGUCCUCUACUUCUUCCGAUGACCUAGGUCGACGUCAGAGGUGUUAAGCAGUGGUAAGUGACUUUGUAGCUACUGAGCAGGGUUGCUGUGUUUUCCGGUGUGUUUUUGUGAGAGAGAGAGAGAGAGAGAGAGAGAGAGAGAGAGAGAGAGAGAGAGAGAGAGAGAGAGAGA
This 2171-nucleotide long non-coding RNA is filed under the name Fragaria vesca (wild strawberry). RNAcentral's name for it is "long non-coding RNA (FVES_LNC002687)". The record is from RNAcentral. Lineage: Eukaryota; Viridiplantae; Streptophyta; Magnoliopsida; Rosales; Rosaceae.